UACGUAGGGUGCAAGCGUUGUCCGGAAUUAUUGGGCGUAAAGAGCUCGUAGGCGGUUCGUCGCGUCGGCUGUGAAAUCCCGGAGCUCAACUCCGGGUCUGCAGUCGAUACGGGCGGACUUGAGUUCGGCAGGGGAGACUGGAAUUCCUGGUGUAGCGGUGAAAUGCGCAGAUAUCAGGAGGAACACCGGUGGCGAAGGCGGGUCUCUGGGCCGAUACUGACGCUGAGGAGCGAAAGCGUGGGGAGCGAACAGG
RNAcentral lists this ribosomal RNA (253 nucleotides) under uncultured bacterium. Its description in RNAcentral is "partial 16S ribosomal RNA". It matches the Rfam family "Bacterial small subunit ribosomal RNA", at positions 524 to 776 of the family's 1533-position model. The record is from RNAcentral.